This 468-nucleotide ribosomal RNA is filed under the name uncultured bacterium. RNAcentral describes it as "partial 16S ribosomal RNA". It matches the Rfam family "Bacterial small subunit ribosomal RNA", at positions 28 to 507 of the family's 1533-position model. The record is from RNAcentral.
GACGAACGCUGGCGGCGUGCUUAACACAUGCAAGUCGAACGGAAAGGCCCUGCUUUUGUGGGGUGCUCGAGUGGCGAACGGGUGUGUAACACGUGAGUCACCUGCCCUUGAUUUUGGGAUAACUUCAGGAAACUGGGGCUAAUACCGGAUAGCAGCUCCUGCUGAUUGGUGGGUGUUGGAAAGUUUCGGCGGUUGGGGAUGGACUCGCGGCUUAUCAGCUUGUUGGUGGGGUAGUGGCUUACCAAGGCUUUGACGGGUAGCCGGCCUGAGAGGGUGACCGGCCACAUUGGGACUGAGAUACGGCCCAGACUCCUACGGGAGGCAGCAGUGGGGAAUAUUGCACAAUGGGCGGAAGCCUGAUGCAGCAACGCCGCGUGCGGGAUGACGGCCUUCGGGUUGUAAACCGCUUUCGCCUGUGACGAAGCGUGAGUGACGGUAAUGGGUAAAGAAGCACCGGCUAACUACGUG